RNAcentral lists this long non-coding RNA (3005 nucleotides) under Homo sapiens (human). RNAcentral's name for it is "LHRI_LNC656.19". The record is from RNAcentral. Lineage: Eukaryota; Metazoa; Chordata; Mammalia; Primates; Hominidae.
GGGGAGCUCCCCUGCACAUGCUCUGUCUCUUGCCUGCCGCUAUGCAAGGCGUGACUUUGCUCCUCCUUUGCCUUCUGACAUGAUUGUGAGGCCUCCCCAGCCAUGUGGAACUUUCCAUGGAUGGACCAUAAAGGCCUUGCAGAGUGCAUGGACUCCCCUGCCAUAUUUCUCCACAAUCUGCCUAAAGUUUUCAAGACAGAUUAGCCGAGAAGAGCCAUUAUGGGAUGAAAGAGGAGGGCACGCUGGGAGAAGAAUGAAAUGAAACAUUCACCCAUGCAAACGUUUCCUCCCUGGAUACUAUUUGGAUUUUAAUUUUUUUUUUUUUCAAAUAUAAGAUAAAAUACAAGAUGUUGGUGCUGUUUGGAGAUAGCACACAUCUGUACAGCAAGGAGACAAUUCUCCAAAGUGCAGCUCUCAGUGGGCUAUUUAUUUAAUUCGUAUUGGUUUUGGACCGCAGCCUGUAAUGAGGAAAGAUACGGAUGGAGGCAGGAGAUGGCGGUUGGAAGUCUGUACCUUUUUGAACAUGAAAGUACAAAAGGGUCGUGCAUGUAUUGAGGUUUUAGUGAAAAUUCAAUAACUUUAGCUGCAGACACUCUGCUCCAGGACACUAAUAAAGAUGGGAGAGCUAAUAAAGGACCCAAAUUCGAGCUUCUUAGAGAUGAAAGCUGGAGUGGUGCCAGGCUCAGCUGCCCUGAUGUUGAAGAAUGCCCUGGUAUGUUUUUGCACAUGGGCCAAUUGAGGAUUAGGUUGAUUUUAAGGUGUCUGUCAACAGCAUAUGAGCCCCAGGGACCUAUGAAUGCCAAACAGGCCCUACUGAAAUGGGGUUCAUUGAAGGGGGAUCAGGGAUGCUUGAAUUUCCUGCCAGCAAAUGCCCUGAUAGACAGGCAGGCCAGAGUUAAAAACAAGAAGGUCCUCCCCAAAGUGAGACAUCCCUGCAUUGGGUCUUUUGGUCUUCCUGAAGCACAGUGGCGUGAAGAUCUCAUCAAUGAGCUCGGGUGUGAGCGAAAGGGCCAAAAGCCUCUAAGAAAGAGGCAGCAGCUAGCAAAGAGCUGUAGCGUGGGAGGAAAGGGCUUGGCCUUGGCAGCAUGAAAGACUCCCUGAAUUAUCUAACUCCAUCCUCCUCUCCACCCAGUACUGUCACUUUCUAUGCUCACUUAUCUAAAACCACACCCUUGCAAGUGGCAGAUUCAGGGCUUGAACUCAGAUGGAAGGCAUGGAUGAACAGCAUGGUCUGAGCCCAGCGAAGCCAUCUGGGGUUCAUAUCCUCCAGCUCCCAGAGGAAAUCAGAGUUCUGGAAAGAGAAAUCUGGGAUGGGGCUCAACUCACUGACUUGCUCUGUUAUUAGGGUUGAACAUGUUUGCAGAGGGCUGUUUGAGAACCAUCUUGAAAUCAGCCCACAGCCUUCUCAGCUGCAGGCUGAUGCCCUCAGUUUAUACCAGGUUUGAUGCUUUGCUGACAAGUUUGGCCACAUUUGCAGAAGGCUGCCUGAGAAACAUCUGCUUGAGAAGCUCAGUUUUUUUCCUCUUUGGGCUAGAGAUUCUCAACCUGCACUAGCUUUGCCUGAGGUCUGAAUCCUAAUUAGUGGGCUAUAAUUAGCAUUGAUUAUUGCUACAGUGCCAGGCAUGGUACAUGGCACAUUACGUCUUGUGUUGCAAGUUGUCAUAACAACUCCAGGAGAUUGGUGCAUUACUGUCUCCAUUUUACAGAUGAAGAAAGUGGGGCUACCAGCUGUAUGAUUUGGUCCCAGGUCUGUGUAAAUUCUAAGCUCGUGCGGUUUAAUGCUGACUAGGGAAGCUGUACAUCGGGUCCCUUCUGGAAGGAUGUGGAGGAUGCACUUGGCAUUUUUGCCAGACUCAUUUCUGUGGGCUGAGAUACACAUGUGCAAGGUUAGACAGCUGGACCCCAGGAGGUGUCACUGCACCUAGCUCUUCCUCCCAGCCCGCUCUUGGAAUCUGCGGGCUCUACUCUGGGCCCUUUUUUCCUGCCCUAGUUGCCUUCCUCUUCUCUGUGAAGUCCUGGAGCCUCUCACCCAGCAGAGCUGACCUGCCUGUGAUAAAUACCAUUUAAUUACAGAACAAGCUUUUCUGCCAUUUCUCUUAGCACGGCUUCUAUUGCUGAAGAUUAAACUUCAUUCCCACACCACUGAAUUACCUUUUUAAACCUAUUAUUUCAAUGUGAUUAACUUCACUUCUUUCAUUUAGCUGUAAGCAAAAUCUUGUUUACAAGGCAAAAAAAGUCUUUGCUUAAUAUCGGCAAUAAUAAUACAAACGAACAUUGCAAGAAAAUAAUUUAUGUGAAAAACAGGAAAAAAUGGCAGUGAUACACGAGGUUCCUCUUUGAUUAAUAAAAAGGAGGAAAUAUUUAAAAACAAUUUAUCAAAGAAAUAUAUGCAGUUCAUACAUCAUGCAUUUGUAAAGAAUAUACUAAUAUUCAUUCCACAAAUAGCUGUGUGACCCUGAAUUCUAAUUCUUUUGUGUGUGACAAAAUUUGGGUUGUGGUUAAAAUCCAGAGCUGGGUUUGGUUAACAGAGUGCCAAGACUGGCCAGGCUACUGAUGGAGAAAGAGGCCUGUGUUCGCCAGACACCUGCCAUGUUCUCUCUUUUGAAUGUGGCCAAAGUGCAUCGGAGGUUUUUAGAAAAGGUUAUUACUGCAAGCCUGGGUGAGCAACCUGAAACCUAGGUUGGUUUUAAAGGCAGAUUUGCAUCAUGUCAGUUGUGCCUCUUCUUUUCAGGAUUGAAAUCCAAACCUCUAGAAACCGUAAUUUUAUUAAAAAUUGCAAAAGAGAGAAAUGCUUGGUGAUUUUUUGAAUUGUUUUUAUUGGAAGCAAACCCUGGCAGAAUGUUUCCCAAAAGUUGUCAAGGCCGGGUGGCUGUGGGGAAGUGGUGGCAUCUGUCACUGCAGUUAUGCAAAUCCUCUCCUGUUAGGGCCAGAGCUUGGAGGGGGGACACACGGCUGCGUGUUGGCAAAACAGACACCGUAUGCUACCACCCGCGUUUCUCCCUAAU